UACGGAGGGUGCGAGCGUUAAUCGGAAUUACUGGGCGUAAAGCGCACGUAGGCGGUUUGUUAAGCUAGAUGUGAAAGCCCCGGGCUCAACCUGGGAAUAGCAUUUAGAACUGGCAGGCUAGAGUUUUGAAGAGGGUGGUAGAAUUUCCAGUGUAGCGGUGAAAUGCGUAGAGAUUGGAAGGAAUAUCAGUGGCGAAGGCGGCCACCUGGUCAAAAACUGACGCUCAGGUGCGAAAGCGUGGGGAGCAAACAGG
RNAcentral lists this unclassified non-coding RNA (253 nucleotides) under uncultured Idiomarinaceae bacterium. RNAcentral's name for it is "contains 16S-23S intergenic spacer region". It matches the Rfam family "Bacterial small subunit ribosomal RNA", at positions 524 to 776 of the family's 1533-position model. The record is from RNAcentral. Lineage: Bacteria; Pseudomonadati; Pseudomonadota; Gammaproteobacteria; Alteromonadales; Idiomarinaceae.